Molecule: ribosomal RNA, 450 nt
Filed under: uncultured bacterium
Lineage: Bacteria
Description: partial 16S ribosomal RNA
Rfam family: Bacterial small subunit ribosomal RNA
Source: RNAcentral
GUGGGGAAUUUUGGACAAUGGGCGCAAGCCUGAUCCAGCCAUGCCGCGUGGGUGAAGAAGGCCUUCGGGUUGUAAAGCCCUUUUGUACGGGAAGAAAUCAUUCGGGUUAAUACCCUGGGUGGAUGACGGUACCGUAAGAAUAAGCACCGGCUAACUACGUGCCAGCAGCCGCGGUAAUACGUAGGGUGCGAGCGUUAAUCGGAAUUACUGGGCGUAAAGCGUGCGCAGGCGGUGCUGUAAGACAGGCGUGAAAUCCCCGGGCUCAACCUGGGAAUUGCGCUUGUGACUGCAGUGCUGGAGUACGGCAGAGGGGGAUGGAAUUCCGCGUGUAGCAGUGAAAUGCGUAGAUAUGCGGAGGAACACCGAUGGCGAAGGCAGUCCCCUGGGCCUGUACUGACGCUCAUGCACGAAAGCGUGGGGAGCAAACAGGAUUAGAUACCCUAGUAGUCC